UACAGAGGGUGCGAGCGUUGUUCGGAAUUAUUGGGCGUAAAGCGCACGUAGGCGGCUUUCUAAGUCAGGGGUGAAAUCCUGGAGCUCAACUCCAGAACUGCCUUUGAUACUGGGAAGCUUGAGUCCGGAAGAGGUGAGUGGAACUCCGAGUGUAGAGGUGAAAUUCGUAGAUAUUCGCAAGAACACCAGUGGCGAAGGCGGCUCACUGGCCCGGUACUGACGCUGAGGUGCGAAAGCGUGGGGAGCAAACAGG
This 253-nucleotide ribosomal RNA is filed under the name uncultured bacterium. RNAcentral describes it as "partial 16S ribosomal RNA". It matches the Rfam family "Bacterial small subunit ribosomal RNA", at positions 524 to 776 of the family's 1533-position model. The record is from RNAcentral.